GACGAACCGUACGAACGUUAUUCGGAAUUACUGGGCUUAAAGGGUGCGUAGGCUGUGCAGAAAGUUGGGUGUGAAAUCCCUUAGCUUAACUGAGGAACUGCGCCCAAAACUACUGUGCUAGAGGGAGACAGGGGUAAGCGGAACUUACGGUGGAGCGGUGAAAUGUGUUGAUAUCGUAAGGAACACCGGUGGCGAAGGCGGCUUACUGGGUCUCUUCUGACGCUGAGGCACGAAAGCUAGGGGAGCAAACGGG
Molecule: ribosomal RNA, 253 nt
Filed under: uncultured bacterium
Lineage: Bacteria
Description: partial 16S ribosomal RNA
Rfam family: Bacterial small subunit ribosomal RNA
Source: RNAcentral